AUAUCAAUAAGCGGAGGAAAAGAAACCAACAGGGAUUGCCCUAGUAACGGCGAGUGAAGCGGCAACAGCUCAAAUUUGAAAUCUGGCCCCAGGCCCGAGUUGUAAUUUGCAGAGGAUGCUUUUGGCAAAGCGCUUACCGAGUCCCCUGGAACGGGGCGCCACAGAGGGUGAGAGCCCCGUAUGGUAGGACGCCGAGCCUCUGUAAAGCUCCUUCGACGAGUCGAGUAGUUUGGGAAUGCUGCUCUAAAUGGGAGGUAAAUUUCUUCUAAAGCUAAAUACCGGCCAGAGACCGAUAGCGCACAAGUAGAGUGAUCGAAAGAUGAAAAGCACUUUGAAAAGAGGGUUAAAUAGCACGUGAAAUUGUUGAAAGGGAAGCGCUCGUGACCAGACUUGCGCCGGGCGGAUCAUCCAGCGUUCUCGCUGGUGCACUCCGCCCGGCUCAGGCCAGCAUCGGUUUUUGCCGGGGGACAAAAGCUUCGGGAACGUGGCUCCCUUCGGGGAGUGUUAUAGCCCGUUGCUUAAUACCCCGGCGGGGACCGAGGACCGCGCUUCGGCAAGGAUGCUGGCGUAAUGGUCAUCAGCGACCCGUCUUGAAACACGGACCGAGGAGUCAAGCAUUAGUGCGAGUGUUUGGGUGUAAAACCCGCACGCGUAAUGAAAGUGAACGUAGGUGAGAGCUUCGGCGCAUCAUCGACCGAUCCUGAUGUUUUCGGAUGGAUUUGAGUAGGAGCAUUAACGCUUGGACCCGAAAGAUGGUGAACUAUACUUGAAUAGGGUGAAGCCAGAGGAAACUCUGGUGGAGGCUCGCAGCGGUUCUGACGUGCAAAUCGAUCGUCAAAUUUGAG
Molecule: ribosomal RNA, 845 nt
Filed under: Gaeumannomyces avenae
Lineage: Eukaryota; Fungi; Ascomycota; Sordariomycetes; Magnaporthales; Magnaporthaceae
Description: eukaryotic LSU rRNA
Rfam family: Eukaryotic large subunit ribosomal RNA
Source: RNAcentral